RNAcentral lists this microRNA precursor (60 nucleotides) under Pristionchus pacificus. Its description in RNAcentral is "mir-8364 microRNA precursor family". It matches the Rfam family "mir-8364 microRNA precursor family". Lineage: Eukaryota; Metazoa; Nematoda; Chromadorea; Rhabditida; Neodiplogasteridae. The record is from Rfam by way of RNAcentral.
UCUUCAUUUCACACACUCUCUCAUCGGUCAGCAUGCGAGAGAGUGUGUGAAAUGAGGAGA